Molecule: long non-coding RNA, 1713 nt
Organism: Glycine soja
Lineage: Eukaryota; Viridiplantae; Streptophyta; Magnoliopsida; Fabales; Fabaceae
Exons: 7
Source: RefSeq, a predicted model, not a curated record
UGUGUCCUAGGCAACAUGUUGUUGUUUGGUUCUGUUCUUUGCAUAGGAAACCUGAUAUGCAUAUCAAAGCUACAAUUAAUAGUGUAAUGACAAAAUUGAAGAAGACCUUGUCUCCUGAAACUAAGGCAGUUGCACCAAAGUGGAUUGAAGUAAAGAGUCACGUUCAAACCGGCUGUUAUGAAUGUGGAUAUUACAUAAUGCAUUGGAUCUGGAACAUCAUAGCCAGCGACAUAAAGAGUGAUUGGUCCAUGUGGUUUGCUAAUGACACACCGUUGGACAUCGGCAUCAUCACCACAAUUCGAAAGAAAUGGGCAACAUUUUUUUUAAAGACAGCAAUAAGUCAAAACGGCUAAUGAUGGCGUUGGAGUAUUUUUUUCCCUGUAUUUGAGACAAUUGUUAUGUUAUUUGACACAGCGGCUAUUUUAUUUUCGGUCAUGCUACUAAUAUUCUAUUCUUAGUAUUACCUACUCAAUUUCAUAUAAUUGUAGUAAUAUAUUGUCUUUACCCCCUUCUACUGCAUUGCAUCUGCAUUUGAUUACCACAGCAACAAUUUAGUGCAGCUAUAGUACCACCAAGCUUGCCACUGCAGCAGUUAAGUGAACAAAUGAAGUGUCCACAGUCAUUGGAUGGUUGCUUGGUAGAGGUACAUGCUAAUAACUAAUAAGAUUUCCUGUGCAGGGUAUCAUUGUUUUUGCAUGACUGAUGGCUACCUUGGGGCUGGAGAUUUUGGUUGAAUCUGCCUCAAGUGUUAUUUUGAAGAUGAUAUUAUCAUUUGACCUUGCUUUUGCUUUGAUUCCGCUCCUAAAGUUCAGUAGCAGCAAAGUGACUAGCAGCACAAGCAUUGAAGAGAGAUUGCAGGGAUUCCAAGGGAAGGGGACCAGGGGAUGAAAAAUAUGAUUAAAGAGAGUUCUUGAGGAGUUUGUCACAUGCUCAGGGAAGUGGAAGAUUUUGCACGAAGGUUAAAUUCUGCUUGGCCUGAAAGGAUGCAAAUUUGAUCUUUGGCCCAACACAGAAGACUAGUAACAAUUUCUAUGAAUAGCAAUGGUUCAACGCAGCUGUAUAUAGGUAUGUUCUAUCUAUCUUCUCAAUAUUCGCGGUGAACCCUACUUGCUGCCUUGUUUUCUAUCAGAAGCAUCAUUAAAUUUUGUUGACAUGCACAUGACUGGAAUCAACUAGUUAUAAGUUACUUCAUCACUCUCAUGCAUUUCAUUCAUCACAUACAACACUCUCUCCAAAGUUCAAAUUAAGACUGAGGGGUGAGAAAGAGACAAUUAAUAUGGGUGCCGGUCUACUUGCAAUUGGUUCUUGUGCAAUUGGUCUAUGCAGUGAUGAACAUUACUUAAAUGCUUGCAAUAGAAUCUGGAAUGAGCCCUCUUGUCCUUGUUGCUUAUCGACAACUCUUUGCUACUGUGUCCAUUGCUCCCUUUGCUUAUUGGCUCGAGUGGUAAUUAUAUAUAUAUAUACCCUUUCUGGUUUUGUUUUAUUUUCAUAUAUAUAAACAAUGCAUGCAUGAAAGGCUUUGAUGAACUUUGAACCACCUAUAACAUUCUCACUGUGAGUGUCACCGUCGAUAUCCCUUUUCUUUUGGUUGAUGCAUGAUUGUGUUAUUUAUCCUUUAAAUGUAUUUAUAUAUGUUUGCUGUAUAUAAAUGUAGCUUUGUUUUUGAAAUUUGAAUGGUAUAACCCAAAUUUUGUGAGCAGGCAAAAUACUUCA